This 486-nucleotide ribosomal RNA is filed under the name uncultured bacterium. Its description in RNAcentral is "partial 16S ribosomal RNA". It matches the Rfam family "Bacterial small subunit ribosomal RNA", at positions 30 to 507 of the family's 1533-position model. The record is from RNAcentral.
AUUGAACGCUGGCGGCAUGCCUUACACAUGCAAGUCGAACGGCAGCACGGGUGCUUGCACCUGGUGGCGAGUGGCGAACGGGUGAGUAAUACAUCGGAACAUGUCCUGUAGUGGGGGAUAGCCCGGCGAAAGCCGGAUUAAUACCGCAUACGAUCUACGGAUGACAGCGGGGGACCUUCGGGCCUCGCGCUAUAGGGUUGGCCGAUGGCUGAUUAGCUAGUUGGUGGGGUAAAGGCCUACCAAGGCGACGAUCAGUAGCUGGUCUGAGAGGACGACCAGCCACACUGGGACUGAGACACGGCCCAGACUCCUACGGGAGGCAGCAGUGGGGAAUUUUGGACAAUGGGCGAAAGCCUGAUCCAGCAAUGCCGCGUGUGUGAAGAAGGCCUUCGGGUAGUAAAGCACUUUUGUCCGGAAAGAAAUCCUUGGCCCUAAUACGGUCGGGGGAUGACGGUACCGGAAGAAUAAGCACCGGCUAACUACGUG